Molecule: long non-coding RNA, 250 nt
Organism: Helianthus annuus (common sunflower)
Lineage: Eukaryota; Viridiplantae; Streptophyta; Magnoliopsida; Asterales; Asteraceae
Exons: 2
Source: RefSeq, a predicted model, not a curated record
ACGUCUUUUUAAUUUCUUAAACUCCUAGGUCUAAGUAAUUGAAAACAACAUGUCCAAAUUUGUGUAUAUCUCCAAAGAUUGUCUUGGUAAUCCGGAAAUCAGAAUUGAGUUUCUUGAUUCUUGAAAUAUGUAAUUUGGAAUUAAGAUGAAAAAGAUCGAAAUCCCCUCUUGACGCCUUAACCUUGGAACGUGGAACGAGUGUUCAAAAAAAAAAAAAAAGACAUGAGGGGCGAAGAGAAGAAGCUAGGAA